GCUUGAAACGAAGAAGAAUCAAAAGGCAAACUCAAAUGGGGGUUAGCAAAAAUAUUCCUUACUUUUUCUUGAUUCCUUUCUUCACUCAUUUCUUUUGCAAAUUUUUUUUCCUUUUCACUCGAUUUCAUUUCAAGCUCUCUUUCUUUUCCACUUUCGUUUUCUUUUAUUUUUUUUUCAAUUUCUUUUUCAAUAUCUUUCUCCUUUUCACUCACUUUUGUUUUUGAAUUCUCAUCUUAAUCUUUUUCUUUUUCAUUUCGUUCAAUUUCCUUUUCAAUGUUUUUUUCUCGCUCACAUUCUUUUACAACCAAUUUUUUCAAUUUGAUUUGGCCCUCAUGGACUUGUUCCGGUGUGAGCAGCGCUAAGGUGAUUUUCCUUCUUUGAUGCUAGAAGG
RNAcentral lists this long non-coding RNA (391 nucleotides) under Gossypium raimondii (Peruvian cotton). RNAcentral's name for it is "long non-coding RNA (GRAI_LNC000569)". Lineage: Eukaryota; Viridiplantae; Streptophyta; Magnoliopsida; Malvales; Malvaceae. The record is from RNAcentral.